This 129-nucleotide ribosomal RNA is filed under the name Triticum aestivum (bread wheat). RNAcentral's name for it is "partial small subunit ribosomal RNA". The record is from RNAcentral. Lineage: Eukaryota; Viridiplantae; Streptophyta; Magnoliopsida; Poales; Poaceae.
AUGACCGCGACUUACUUUGUCCGUGUCAACAAACAAUUCAAAAUACCUCGACUUUUUCAGAACAGGUCCGAGUCAAAUAGCAAUGAUUCGAAGCACUUCUUUUUCCAUUACACUAUUUCAGAAACCUAA